RNAcentral lists this unclassified non-coding RNA (1286 nucleotides) under Melitaea cinxia (Glanville fritillary). Its description in RNAcentral is "misc RNA ENSMCXG00005000479.1". Lineage: Eukaryota; Metazoa; Arthropoda; Insecta; Lepidoptera; Nymphalidae. The record is from RNAcentral.
ACUUUCUUCAUCUUCCUCGUAGAGUUUCCUCGUUCGGAGUCCAUUAAAGUGAAAAACACACUAAGAUUUUCUCGGUUUAUUAACGCACAGUUGCUGGUAUAGAACAACCUGAUCUUUUCAUAAAUCGACUGCUUUUAUAGUUAUCAUACAAUCAAAUACAACUCCUUUUAAAAUUAACAAAUAAAUUAGAUACUGUAAAAUAAUUCUUGAAAUAUAUCUUAAUAUUUAUAAUAAAUGUUUUAACGAAUUUAAAUAAGUUAAAAUGAUUUAUAUAAUAUAAAGGUUACUUAAUUUAAUCUGAACAAACAUUAAUGUGAACAAACAUUAGUAAUGUAAAGAUGGCGCUGCAAGCAAGAUUCGAAAUGAAAUUAAAAAAAGACUUAUUGCAUAAAAUAAUAAAAUUCAGUACAAAAUAAUUAUAUUAAUUAAAAUAGAUAAUAAUUUGAAUAUUUACACAGUAAACUGAGUAAACGGCACGGGUUACGGCUCAGUUGCACACUACUCUCGGAUGUUCCUCUGCUAGUUUGACCGACGAUGCUUUGGUCGGUAAUGGAUGAACACUUUCGGCAAGACUACCAUACAUAUAUACACAAACAUUGUGAUGCGGAAGGUUCCAUAUACCUUACAACAAUAUGUAUACAGCUUUGAGGCGCUAUCACGGCCGCGGGAUCAAUAACGAAAAAAUUGUUCGGCGACGUGCACGAAACUUUGAGCAUUUACGAAAAAUUUCGGCGAAACUGGAAAAUAAUAAUUCAAAAUAAAUAUUGAGAAAUCAUAUUAAAAUAUUCAGUCAAGUCGGUCAGUCUUUAUGUUGAAUCAGGUUUUCUUGUUCUAAAACAAUUUCUGCAUCACUCAACUUCAGUAGUGUGUGUUGUUCAUAGCGUAGUUUACUCGGCGUGUGAACAAAUAGUCGCUGAGAGAUUCAAACUCCUAUCAUAAUCAAACUAUCAUCUUCUAAUCUCGUCACUACCAAAAAUACAGUCAACGAAAACAAUAUCUGCAUCACUCGGCUUCAUUAAUGUGUGUGGCUUACAAACGUCGAACAAAGGUUGCAAGCUUUUUCUUCGUUUAACACAACUUGAAUAAGCGUUCAAGGUUGAAAUGUCAGUACCUCCAAAGACGGUAUUCUCUUGUGCUCUCUGCAACAGUUUUUCAUCAACACAGUUGUUUCUUUUAGGUUGUCUACAAAGAUGCAAAUAAAACCUCGUGGAAACUUGGAAGAAUGAGUCAAAUCCUGCAGCACUUAGUAAACAAAGCGAAAAAGAAGAAUCUCCAGAGAAAUUCCG